AUACGGAGGGCGCGAGCGUUGUUCGGAAUCACUGGGCGUAAAGCGGGUGUAGGCGGCCUGUCAAGUCAGAUGUGAAAGCCCACGGCUCAACCGUGGAAGUGCAUCUGAAACUGGCAGGCUUGAGUACCGGAGAGGGAAGUGGAAUUCCUGGUGUAGGGGUGAAAUCCGUAGAUAUCAGGAGGAACACCGGUGGCGAAGGCGACUUCCUGGACGGAUACUGACGCUGAGACCCGAAAGCGUGGGGAGCAAACAGGAUUAGAUACCCUAGUAGUCC
Molecule: ribosomal RNA, 274 nt
Filed under: uncultured bacterium
Lineage: Bacteria
Description: partial 16S ribosomal RNA
Rfam family: Bacterial small subunit ribosomal RNA
Source: RNAcentral